RNAcentral lists this unclassified non-coding RNA (219 nucleotides) under fungal sp. Its description in RNAcentral is "partial internal transcribed spacer region". The stretch from base 1 to 46 matches the Rfam family "Eukaryotic small subunit ribosomal RNA", at positions 1786 to 1831 of the family's 1831-position model. Lineage: Eukaryota; Fungi. The record is from RNAcentral.
AAGUCGUAACAAGGUUUCCGUAGGUGAACCUGCGGAAGGAUCAUUAGUAGUUGCGAGAGUCGUAUGGCUCGAGCAGUGAGAGGGUGUGGUUUUGAUGGAGGGUGGCAUGUUGUUUAAACAACUUCGUGCCACACUUUUUCAUACAACAAUACGAUUUUGAACAAGGUAUGAGCAAGUGAUUACGACACACAACUGUCACCGGUGGAUCUCUUGGCUCGU